Molecule: unclassified non-coding RNA, 320 nt
Filed under: Stanleya pinnata
Lineage: Eukaryota; Viridiplantae; Streptophyta; Magnoliopsida; Brassicales; Brassicaceae
Description: sequence contains ITS1, 5.8S rRNA gene and ITS2
Source: RNAcentral
AUAUGACAAGGCUUGAAUUCACCACCCCRUGUSGAGACGCUCCUUGCGUCCUUAGCUCGGAUUUUGGCCAACCGCGUGCGGUAACACACGGGAGACCAGCUUCCGUCCCAUAUCCUCGAGAGGAUGGGGGGACGACGAUUUGUGACACCCAGGCAGACGUGCCCUCGGCCAGAAGGCUUGGGGCGCAACUUGCGUUCAAAGACUCGAUGGUUCACGGGAUUCUGCAAUUCACACCAAUUAUCGCAUUUCGCACCCUUCUUCAUCGAUGCCAGAGCCCAGAUAUCCGUUGCCAAVAGUCCUUUUAGACUUUAUAUUGGAAC